Molecule: ribosomal RNA, 484 nt
Filed under: uncultured bacterium
Lineage: Bacteria
Description: partial 16S ribosomal RNA
Rfam family: Bacterial small subunit ribosomal RNA
Source: RNAcentral
AUUGAACGCUGGCGGCAGGCCUAACACAUGCAAGUCGAGCGGAUGAAGGGAGCUUGCUCCUGGAUUCAGCGGCGGACGGGUGAGUAAUGCCUAGGAAUCUGCCUGGUAGUGGGGGAUAACGUCCGGAAACGGGCGCUAAUACCGCAUACGUCCUGAGGGAGAAAGUGGGGGAUCUUCGGACCUCACGCUAUCGGAUGAGCCUAGGGCGGAUUAGCUAGUUGGUGGGGUAAAGGCCUACCAAGGCGACGAUCCGUAACUGGUCUGAGAGGAUGAUCAGUCACACUGGAACUGAGACACGGUCCAGACUCCUACGGGAGGCAGCAGUGGGGAAUAUUGGACAAAGGGCGAAAGCCUGAUCCAGCCAUGCCGCGUGUGUGAAGAAGGUCUUCGGAUUGUAAAGCACUUUAAGUUGGGAGGAAGGGCAGUAAGUUAAUACCUUGCUGUUUUGACGUUACCAACAGAAUAAGCACCGGCUAACUUCGUG